UACGGAGGGUGCAAGCGUUAUCCGGAUUCACUGGGUUUAAAGGGUGCGUAGGCGGGUUUGUAAGUCAGUGGUGAAAUCUCGGAGCUUAACUCUGAAACUGCCAUUGAUACUAUAAGUCUUGAAUAUUGCGGAGGUAAGCGGAAUAUGUCAUGUAGCGGUGAAAUGCUUAGAUAUGACAUAGAACACCCAUUGCGAAGGCAGCUUACUACACAUAUAUUGACGCUGAGGCACGAAAGCGUGGGGAU
Molecule: ribosomal RNA, 245 nt
Filed under: uncultured Sediminibacterium sp.
Lineage: Bacteria; Pseudomonadati; Bacteroidota; Chitinophagia; Chitinophagales; Chitinophagaceae
Description: partial 16S ribosomal RNA
Rfam family: Bacterial small subunit ribosomal RNA
Source: RNAcentral